This 924-nucleotide ribosomal RNA is filed under the name Pelecorhynchus personatus. RNAcentral describes it as "eukaryotic LSU rRNA". It matches the Rfam family "Eukaryotic large subunit ribosomal RNA", at positions 1444 to 2331 of the family's 3401-position model. The record is from RNAcentral. Lineage: Eukaryota; Metazoa; Arthropoda; Insecta; Diptera; Pelecorhynchidae.
ACAGAUCUUGGUGGUAGUAGCAAAUAAUCGAAUGAGACCUUGGAGGACUGAAGUGGAGAAGGGUUUCGUGUGAACAGUGGUUGAUCACGAGUUAGUCGGUCCUAAGUUCAUGGUGAAAACUAAGAAAUGUUAAGUUAUAAUAAUAUAUAAUAUAAACUUAAUCAUUUUUGAACGAAAGGGAAUACGGUUCCAAUUCCGUAACCUGUUAAGUAUACGUUUGUUAUUAAAAAUGGGCUUUAAUGCUCAUCCUGGCAACAGAAACAACCAUAAAGAAAUCGUCGAGAGAUAUCGGAAGAGUUUUCUUUUCUGUUUUAUAAUCGUACCACCAUGGAAGUCUUUCGAAGAAAAAUAUGGUGGAUGGACUAGAAGAGCAUGGCAUUUAUUGCUGUGUCGAUAUUUUCUCCUCGGGCCUUGAAAAUUUAUGGUAGGGUUACGCAAACCUCUUAACAGGCCGUACCGAUAUCCGCAGCUGGUCUCCAAGGUGAAGAGUCUCUAGUCGAUAGAAAAAUGGUAAAGGAAUCGGCAAAUUACAUCCGUAACUUCGGAUAAGGAUUGGCUCUGAAGAUUGAGAUAGUCGGGCUUGAUUGGGAAGCAAUAAAAUGGUUUAUGUACUCGUUCUGGGUAAAUUAGGAUUUAUAUGAUUUACAUUGUAUGGUCUGUUCCCCGAUUUAUAUAUUUAUAACGGUUAUCAAUUAACAAUCAAUUCAGAACUGGCACGGACUUGGGGAAUCCGACUGUCUAAUUAAAACAAAGCAUUGUGAUGGCCCUAACGGGUGUUGACACAAUGUGAUUUCUGCCCAGUGCUCUGAAUGUCAAAGUGAAGAAAUUCAAGUAAGCGCGGGUAAACGCGGGAGUAAUUAUGACUCUCUUAAGGUAGCCAAAUGCUCGUCAUCUAAUUAGUGACGCGCAUGAAUGGUUAACGAG